Molecule: ribosomal RNA, 497 nt
Filed under: uncultured bacterium
Lineage: Bacteria
Description: partial 16S ribosomal RNA
Rfam family: Bacterial small subunit ribosomal RNA
Source: RNAcentral
GACGAACGCUGGCGGCGUGCCUAAUACAUGCAAGUAGAACGCUGAAGAGAGGAGCUUGCUCUUCUUGGAUGAGUUGCGAACGGGUGAGUAACGCGUAGGUAACCUGCCUUGUAGCGGGGGAUAACUAUUGGAAACGAUAGCUAAUACCGCAUAACAAUGGAUGACCCAUGUCAUUUAUUUGAAAGGGGCAAAUGCUCCACUACAAGAUGGACCUGCGUUGUAUUAGCUAGUAGGUGAGGUAACGGCUCACCUAGGCGACGAUACAUAGCCGACCUGAGAGGGUGAUCGGCCACACUGGGACUGAGACACGGCCCAGACUCCUGCGGGAGGCAGCAGUAGGGAAUCUUCGGCAAUGGGGGCAACCCUGACCGAGCAACGCCGCGUGAGUGAAGAAGGUUUUCGGAUCGUAAAGCUCUGUUGUAAGUCAAGAACGAGUGUGAGAGUGGAAAGUUCACACUGUGACGGUAGCUUACCAGAAAGGGACGGCUAACUACGUG